CUUGUUUACCAACCCUGUUACCAAUAUUAUAUACUAGACUCUAAAUAUUUCAGCAUUAUAUUGAAAUAUCAUACUAGUCUGGCAAAAGGAAGGAACGAAAAAAAGGCAUAUGAACGAUGCCACAUUAUCAACUUCAUUCAGAGUCCAUUGAUCGUCAUUUACUGCAAGAAAUGUGAACUAUAAGAAUAAUAACUCAAAGAAACAGGACAUAAAAGUAAUGCAUAAAUACAAGAAUUUAUAUAGUCAAUAAUCAAUAUA
Long non-coding RNA from Biomphalaria glabrata, 258 nucleotides. RefSeq lists it as uncharacterized. The record is from RefSeq and is a predicted model, not a curated record. The transcript has 3 exons. NCBI's taxonomy places the organism in Eukaryota, Metazoa, Mollusca, Gastropoda, Planorbidae.